GUGUCAGUUACRGCCCAGUAGGACGCUUUCGCCACUGGUGUUCUUCCCGAUAUCUACGCAUUUCACCGCUACACCGGGAAUUCCYCCUACCCCUACUGUACUCUAGUCCAACAGUUUCCAACGCCGUUAUGGAGUUAAGCUCCASGCUUUGACACCAGACUUGUUAAWCCACCUACRKACGCUUUACGCCCAAUAAUUCCGGAUAACGCUUGCAUCCUCCGUCUUACCGCGGCUGCUGGCACAGAGUUAUCCGAUGCUGAUUCCUCAGGUACCGUCAAAAUCUCCCCAA
This 289-nucleotide ribosomal RNA is filed under the name uncultured cyanobacterium. Its description in RNAcentral is "partial 16S ribosomal RNA". The record is from RNAcentral. Lineage: Bacteria; Bacillati; Cyanobacteriota.